RNAcentral lists this ribosomal RNA (447 nucleotides) under Pseudomonas aeruginosa. RNAcentral's name for it is "partial 23S ribosomal RNA". It matches the Rfam family "Bacterial large subunit ribosomal RNA", at positions 2026 to 2472 of the family's 2925-position model. Lineage: Bacteria; Pseudomonadati; Pseudomonadota; Gammaproteobacteria; Pseudomonadales; Pseudomonadaceae. The record is from RNAcentral.
CCGAGACUCAGUGAAAUUGAACUCGCUGUGAAGAUGCAGUGUACCCGCGGCAAGACGGAAAGACCCCGUGAACCUUUACUAUAGCUUGACACUGAACAUUGAGCCUUGAUGUGUAGGAUAGGUGGGAGGCUUUGAAGCGUGGACGCCAGUCUGCGUGGAGCCAACCUUGAAAUACCACCCUUUAAUGUUUGAUGUUCUAACGUUGGCCCCUGACCGGGGUUGCGGACAGUGUCUGGUGGGUAGUUUGACUGGGGCGGUCUCCUCCCAAAGCGUAACGGAGGAGCACGAAGGUUAGCUAAUCCUGGUCGGACAUCAGGAGGUUAGUGCAAUGGCAUAAGCUAGCUUGACUGCGAGCGUGACGGCGCGAGCAGGUGCGAAAGCAGGUCAUAGUGAUCCGGUGGUUCUGAAUGGAAGGGCCAUCGCUCAACGGAUAAAAGGUACUCCGGG